RNAcentral lists this ribosomal RNA (190 nucleotides) under uncultured bacterium. RNAcentral describes it as "partial 16S ribosomal RNA". It matches the Rfam family "Bacterial small subunit ribosomal RNA", at positions 794 to 985 of the family's 1533-position model. The record is from RNAcentral.
UCCACGCCGUAAACGAUGAUUACUCGUUGGUUGGCGAUAUAUUGUCAGCGACUGAGCGAAAGCAUUAAGUAAUCCACCUGGGGAGUACGUCGGCAACGACGAAACUCAAAGGAAUUGACGGGGGCCCGCACAAGCGGAGGAACAUGUGGUUUAAUUCGAUGAUACGCGAGGAACCUUACCUGGGCUUAAA